Molecule: long non-coding RNA, 210 nt
Filed under: Sorghum bicolor (sorghum)
Lineage: Eukaryota; Viridiplantae; Streptophyta; Magnoliopsida; Poales; Poaceae
Description: long non-coding RNA (SBIC_LNC011741)
Source: RNAcentral
UCACAACAAACCCCGCCCUCCAAAGAAAAUGAACACAACAUAUCAUGUUGCAAAGCUUUUUUGCAUCCUACAAAGAAAGCAGCUCCACCUUCGUCACUCAUCCACCCUAAGAGAACCAUAGACGUGCAGCAAGCAUGUAGCAAAUGAAAAGAGCCUGAACUCAUCGAAAACCCGAAGCUUACAAUAAGUAGUAAAUGUCUCAAUAUGCAU